AGGAAUUUAGGCUAAUAGAGACCAAGGGCCUUCAAAGCCCUAAGUAAGUACCUGUACUUAAUUCCUG
RNAcentral lists this transfer RNA (67 nucleotides) under Hadrosciurus igniventris (North Amazonan red squirrel). Its description in RNAcentral is "tRNA-Trp". Lineage: Eukaryota; Metazoa; Chordata; Mammalia; Rodentia; Sciuridae. The record is from RNAcentral.